RNAcentral lists this long non-coding RNA (457 nucleotides) under Setaria viridis. Its description in RNAcentral is "long non-coding RNA (SVIR_LNC006807)". The record is from RNAcentral. Lineage: Eukaryota; Viridiplantae; Streptophyta; Magnoliopsida; Poales; Poaceae.
AUAAUUUAAACAUGACUUAUCUUUUUCAUACAUUUGUAGUAAAUUUUGAAUAAAAUAGAUAGUAAAACAUUGCAAGAAUGUCAACGUUGACAAAUAUUCGAAUCAGAGAGAGUAUUGUAAGAGAAACUGGUGGUCAAAAUACACCUCCAAGACUUUUUCAAAUCCUAAUACAACUUCUAAAAACAAGGAUAUAGUAUAGUGGUGUGGGGAAUGAGUUUCACUAGAAGUUUGUGUUUUGUUAUGUGUCUUGGCUGACUAGAGCCUUUCAUCGAUAUGUUUCAAACAUCCCUAUCAAAUCUCCACCUCACGUUGGCAAGCUUCUGAAACUCCCAGGCUGCAUAUACUUAGCUAGAGUAGGCCAAUCCGCUAUGUUUUUUUUUUUUUGAAAGGGAAUCAGGCAGGAGUUGCCAAUCCGCUAUGUUGACGGCAGGACUGUACUGCACCUACAGCCUUAUUG